AAUUCGCCCUUAGAGUUUGAUCCUGGCUCAGGACGAACGCUGGCGGCGUGCCUAACACAUGCAAGUCGAACGAAGCACUCGGGUUUACUCGGGUGACUUAGUGGCGGACGGGUGAGUAAUACAUGAGCAACCUGCCCUAAAGAGGGGGACAACAGUUGGAAACGACUGCUAAUACCGCAUGAUGUUAUCGGGAGGCAUCUCCUGGUAACCAAAGAUUUAUCGCUUUAGGAUGGGCUCAUGUCUGAUUAGUUAGUUGGUGAGGUAACGGCUCACCAAGACUGCGAUCAGUAGCCGGACUGAGAGGUUGAACGGCCACAUUGGGACUGAGAUACGGCCCAGACUCCUACGGGAGGCAGCAGUGGGGAAUAUUAGGCAAUGGGGGAAACCCUGACCUAGCAACGCCGCGUGAAGGAAGAAGGCCUUCGGGUUGUAAACUUCUUUUAUGAGGGACGAAACAAAUGACGGUACCUCAUGAAUAAGCCACGGCUAACUACGUGCCAGCAGCCGCGGUAAUACGUAGGUGGCAAGCGUUGUCCGGAUUUACUGGGUGUAAAGGGCGCGUAGGCGGGAUGGCAAGUCAGGCGUGAAAUGCAUAGGCUCAACCUGUGAAUUGCGCUUGAAACUGUUUUUCUUGAGUGUGGGAGAGGUAAACGGAAUUCCUGGUGUAGUAGUGAAAUGCGUAGAUAUCAGGAGGAACACCGGUGGCGAAGGCGGUUUACUGGACCACAACUGACGCUGAGACACGAAAGCGUGGGGAGCAAACAAGAUUAGAUACCCUGGUAGUCCACGCUGUAAACGAUGAAUAAUAGGUGUGGGG
RNAcentral lists this ribosomal RNA (817 nucleotides) under uncultured bacterium. Its description in RNAcentral is "bacterial SSU rRNA". It matches the Rfam family "Bacterial small subunit ribosomal RNA", at positions 1 to 827 of the family's 1533-position model. The record is from RNAcentral.